This 497-nucleotide ribosomal RNA is filed under the name uncultured bacterium. Its description in RNAcentral is "partial 16S ribosomal RNA". It matches the Rfam family "Bacterial small subunit ribosomal RNA", at positions 28 to 507 of the family's 1533-position model. The record is from RNAcentral.
GAUGAACGCUGGCGGCGUGCCUAAUACAUGCAAGUCGAGCGAACGGACGAGAAGCUUGCUUCUCUGAUGUUAGCGGCGGACGGGUGAGUAACACGUGGAUAACCUACCUAUAAGACUGGGAUAACUUCGGGAAACCGUAGCUAAUACCGGAUAAUAUUUUGAACCGCAUGGUUCAAAAGUGAAAGACGGUCUUGCUGUCACUUAUAGAUGGAUCCGCGCUGCAUUAGCUAGUUGGUAAGGUAACGGCUUACCAAAGCAACGAUGCAUAGCCGACCUGAGAGGGCGAUCGGCCACACUGGAACUGAGACACGGUCCAGACUCCUACGGGAGGCAGCAGUAGGGAAUCUUCCGCAAUGGGCGAAAGCCUGACGGAGCAACGCCGCGUGAGUGAUGAAGGUCUUCGGAUCGUAAAACUCUGUUAUUAGGGAAGAACAUAUGUGUAAGUAACUGUGCACAUCUUGACGGUACCUAAUCAGAAAGCCACGGCUAACUACGUG